UACCAAGGGUUCCUGUCCAACGUUAAUCGGGGCAGGGUGAGUCGACCCCUAAGGCGAGGCCGAAAGGCGUAGUCGAUGGGAAACAGGUUAAUAUUCCUGUACUUGGUGUUACUGCGAAGGGGGGACGGAGAAGGCUAUGUUGGCCGGGCGACGGUUGUCCCGGUUUAAGCGUGUAGGCUGGUUUUCCAGGCAAAUCCGGAAAAUCAAGGCUGAGGCGUGAUGACGAGGCACUACGGUGCUGAAGCAACAAAUGCCCUGCUUCCAGGAAAAGCCUCUAAGCAUCAGGUAACAUCAAAUCGUACCCCAAACCGACACAGGUGGUCAGGUAGAGAAUACCAAGGCGCUUGAGAGAACUCGGGUGAAGGAACUAGGCAAAAUGGUGCCGUAACUUCGGGAGAAGGCACGCUGAUAUGUAGGUGAGGUCCCUCGCGGAUGGAGCUGAAAUCAGUCGAAGAUACCAGCUGGCUGCAACUGUUUAUUAAAAACACAGCACUGUGCAAACACGAAAGUGGACGUAUACGGUGUGACGCCUGCCCGGUGCCGGAAGGUUAAUUGAUGGGGUUAGCGCAAGCGAAGCUCUUGAUCGAAGCCCCGGUAAACGGCGGCCGUAACGAUAACGGUCCUAAGGUAGCGAAAUUCCUUGUCGGGUAAGUUCCGACCUGCACGAAUGGCGUAAUGAUGGCCAGGCUGUCUCCGCCCGAGACUCAGUGAAAUUGAACUCGCUGUGAAGAUGCAGUGUACCCGCGGCAAGACGGAAAGACCCCGUGAACCUUUACUAUAGCUUGACACUGAACAUUGAGCCUUGAUGUGUAGGAUAGGUGGGAGGCUUUGAAGUGUGACGCCAGUCUGCAUGGAGCCGACCUUGAAAUACCACCCUUUAAUGUUUGAUGUUCUAACGUUGACCCGUAAUCCGGGUUGCGGACAGUGUCUGGUGGGUAGUUUGACUGGGGCGGUCUCCUCCUAAAGAGUAACGGAGGAGCACGAAGGUUGGCUAAUCCUGGUCGGACAUCAGGAGGUUAGUGCAAUGGCAUAAGCCAGCUUGACUGCGAGCGUGACGGCGCGAGCAGGUGCGAAAGCAGGUCAUAGUGAUCCGGUGGUUCUGAAUGGAAGGGCCAUCGCUCAACGGAUAAAAGGUACUCCGGGGAUAACAGGCUGAUACCGCCCAAGAGUUCAUAUCGACGGCGGUGUUUGGCACCUCGAUGUCGGCUUAUCAUAUCCUGGGGCUGAAGUAGGUCCCAAGGGUAUGGCUGUUCGCCAGUUAAAGUGGUACGCGAGCUGGGUUUAGAACGUCGUGAGACAGUUCGGUCCCUAUCUGCCGUGGGCGCUGGAGAACUGAGGGGGGCUGCUCCUAGUACGAGAGGACCGGAGUGGACGCAUCACUGGUGUUCGGGUUGUCAUGCCAAUGGCACUGCCCGGUAGCUAAAUGCGGAAGAGAUAAGUGCUGAAAGCAUCUAAGCACGAAACUUGCCCCGAGAUGAGUUCUCCCUGACUCCUUGAGAGUCCUGAAGGAACGUUGAAGACGACGACGUUGAUAGGCCGGGUGUGUAAGCGCAGCGAUGCGUUGAGCUAACCGGUACUAAUGAACCGUGAGGCUUAACCC
This 1600-nucleotide ribosomal RNA is filed under the name metagenome. Its description in RNAcentral is "bacterial LSU rRNA". It matches the Rfam family "Bacterial large subunit ribosomal RNA", at positions 1343 to 2925 of the family's 2925-position model. The record is from RNAcentral.